Molecule: ribosomal RNA, 251 nt
Filed under: uncultured bacterium
Lineage: Bacteria
Description: partial 16S ribosomal RNA
Rfam family: Bacterial small subunit ribosomal RNA
Source: RNAcentral
UACAGGGGGGCAAGCGUUGUUCGGAAUUACUGGGCGUAAAGGGCCAGUAGGCGGCCAACUAAGUCCGACGUGAAAUCCCCAGGCUUAACCUGGGAACUGCGUCGGAUACUGGAUGGCUUGAAUUCGGGAGAGGGAUGCAGAAUUCCAGGUGUAGCGGUGAAAUGCGUAGAUAUCAGGAGGAACACCGGUGGCGAAGGCGGGUCUCUGGGCCGAUAUUGACGCUGAGGAGCGAAAGCGUGGGAGCGAACAGG